Sus scrofa (pig) is the source of this 9550-nucleotide non-coding RNA. Lineage: Eukaryota; Metazoa; Chordata; Mammalia; Artiodactyla; Suidae. The record is from RefSeq and is a predicted model, not a curated record.
GCUGCGCCACAACGGGAACUCCAAUAACUUAUUUACUUUUUAACAAGGAGAUACCAGGUUUGUCAGAAAAGAAAAGGAAUGGCUGUUCUUUCUGGCUCGGACUAUUUUUAAAAUCUGUAUUUGGGAAAGAGGGAGACAGCGAAAGAGACAAGAUGGGAUUUGAAAGUGGCCCACAUGCCAGAAAGUUCCUCCCUUCAGCGGAAAUAACUGAGCACCUAUUAUGCGCCAGGCCGAGUCCGGCCCUACAACAGAAAUGAGGUCCCAGCUUCAGGGAGACUGAGUUCCUUCCCUCAGGGCCCUGCCUCCAGGCAGCUUUUCUACAGGCACCUCCUUACUUGUCCCAGGUGGCAGGAUGCCACCCUAGAGGGUGGGGCUGUGCUGCAUGACUGGGGGAUGAUUGACAGGCUUCCUAACGAGAUGCAGCUGAGGGAGCGGCUUGCUGACAGAACAAUUUGCUGGUGCCCAGAAUAUCCGCCCAGCUCCACAAAGCGGCAGCCCGGGCGUCAGGAGAAAUUUCAGGAUUUAUCAUUCGCCUGGGUGUCAGGUUUUCUGCGAGCCACACGAUUCCCAUUGCCCUUUUCCAGAUUUGCAGCCUUGACACACUACCCAUGGAGCCGUCCAGAGCCCCAGGAAUAACAUGCAAAACUAUUCCCCCUUUUCCCCCUUUCCAAUCCACUGGUGUUUAUGUAAAUGACUGGAAAAGCAGUUUUCGGCUUAUUUCCGAAGCUUAAGGGCUUCGUGAGAAGCCUAUUAUUGAAAAAAUCAGAAAGUGAAAAGCAACUUCUCAGACAAUGAAUUAGCAGCUCAAUGAGUGUGUGUAAGGCCGAGUGCGCAGUAACUGGCUGCCUUGCAAAUAGGAACUCCCCCGGGAUUCAGUAAUCAAACACGUGGCAACAGGCUGUCUGUUUCAACACAGUGAGUAAUCAAAGGAGAUUUGCAGUUAAUCCAAAUAUAACAGAGAAGUAUCCAAGGGAAGGCCAGGAAGAGGAGAAACUGGAAGAAAGGUGAGGGGAGGGCCAGCUCUUCAGACCCGGAGUCCGCGUGGCGCGAAGAUAACUUUGGGGGGCGGGGCUUGACUACCGGAGCCCUUGAGGCACCAGCCACUCAGAGGCGAACCCCAAGGCUUGGCUCCGGUUGAUGCAAACCAGAAAAUUCACUGGGCACCUGCCUCCUCUGCUUGGCCUGCAAGUGGUCUAGAAAAAUUCCAUUAAGGCGAAAAGUCAUACUAUAUUACAGCGCUUCGACAUCCACGGACCCUGCUGUCGCGUUAACACCAUCCCAGAGACCGGAGCCCUUCAUUGACUAGAGCCCCUGGCUGCAAAGGGAGUUGGGGCUUCAUAAGCCUCAGCUGUCCAUCAUUUCCGACCUGCAAGGACCUCCCUGGGUCGUGGGGGAAGCCAGCCAGCCAGAGACCAAAAGAGAAGCAAAUUCAAUAAAGCAGCAUUGUUGAAAGGAUGAACCUCCAUAAGCAUUGCCUCCUGGAGCAGGUGGAACAGAGGGCAGGAGGAGGGGGUGGUCAGGUGGGCGCCUGGCCCUGCCUGGGAAGUGUGGCUCGUGCUCAGGGAGAGGAAGUCCAUUCUCCAUCCAUCACCAGACUGGAGUCCCUCCUGGUGGUUUAAGGCUAACGUCCCACCAAGGUAGAACCUGCCUGUAUGUCCUGUCUCCCCUCCAUUCCUCUCUGCAAAGGCUGGGUUCUCUGGAGACAAGGUUUGAUUAAAAAGUGUGAGGUCUGUUAUUUUUGAGGGACUUGUCCCUGGGGUGUCUCAACCUCUGCCUAAGGUCCCAGGGAACUCCCUGCAGGCAGGAUGUCCUGGGCUAAGUGACUGCAUUUGCCUGGGUAAGCACAUGAUUGUCCACACUCUGCAGAGUUCCCUGGAGAGGGGAGCUGGGGCAUCCCCAUCUCUCUUGCCCCAUCUCAACACCAUGGCCCCGCAGCCAUGCUGGGCUCACUUGAGCGCCUGGCAUCUUGCUGGAACUCCUAGGCAGGCUGCUGCUGCAGAGACGGGGCCUCUUAGCUGACCUUGGAAUCUGGUGAACUUGAACUCUGCCGUGAUGUUCUUAGCCCUCCUCCUCCCCUAAGUUCUGAAGAGCAGCCCCGAGCUCUCAGUCUUGAGGCACCCAGAGCGACAGAAGAAAGCAAGCCCAGUGGACAUGUGUGGUCCCCUCCACUGGCCCACAUAUUCCCCCUCGUGUGAAAUGGCUUUGCCGGGCCUGGUGGCAGAGUGACUUGGAGCGGAUGCAGCUGAGCCAAGUGGGAAAUGAUGGACUGUGUGGACGGCCGGGACCCGACCAGGACAGCAGCUCAGCCUGGAUAAAGGAUGGCUUGCGGGAGCCACUCAUGGUGAAGGUAGGGGGCGUCCAUCCCAUGAAUCUUCCCCCCCCAUCUUCCCACUCAGCUCCUGCUUCCCUCCCGAGUGUGUCUCUUGGAGUGAACGCUGAACAGGAGCCUGGGCUCUGUCCCCAAAGCCACACACCUUCCUUCAGCCCAGCUUCCCCCUCCCCCUCUCCCCACCAAUGGUGCAUCGGCUGCCGCUUGCUUCUCCCCAGUGGCAUGUGCCAGAUCUUAUCCCGCUGCAGCUCUUCAGGAUGAAAGGAGGAGGGGGUGUUACAUCCACCAGUGAUACGCGUGGCAAUUGGGAGAGGCUUUUGUUGUGUCAUUUCCUACCUCCUUCAGCCUAUUAAGCAAACAAAAGUGCUUGUGGAAUGAGAAAUGUAAAUGGCCCACGCAAGCCGAUUAAUCCUAGAUGUACAAUUCCAUUAAUAAGGCCGCUUUUUAAUAGGCGGCUCUGGCAGCAGCGGCGGGCAGGCCAGGAAUUGAUGUAUUCUCUGUAAUUGUAUUGCAACUAAUAGGAUAUGAGGAAAAUGGUACCGGAGAAGCAGGCCUUUCAACACCGUUUUCCAAUCAGCUGAAAUAAUGACUUGCUGGGGAAAAGCUUUGAGAAGUAACGACACACAAGUAUAGCAUCACCCAGGAGUAGCCGUUAGACUCCAGAUCCUGGCUUGGGGGUCUUUCUCUCAUGCCUUCUGACCUCUCUCUGUCUCCCUGCCUCUUCCGCCGUGGUCACCUGGGAAGUAAGGCCCUAGCCUUGGCAGGUGCAGGGCUGGCUCACUGGCUGAGAGGGCUUUGUCAGCAGAUUUGGAAGCCAGGGGCAGAGAGAGGGGCAGGAUGCUGUUUGAGAGAGAGGAUGCUAGAGGGGAUCCAGCGCUGUCUCUUAGACCAGCUGGCUGAGUGACCUUGGACCAGUCUCUUCCCCUGAGUUCCCUUCCGGCUCCCAAUGCAGGGAAUCUGAGUGUGUUUCCCGAGAGCAGGCUGGGAGGAGGCUGGCAUCCUUACAUUCCAGGGAAGGCAGAGCCAGUGGGUGGGCCCAGGACCUGAAUGCCCAUCCCCUAGAGGCUCUGCAGGGUCAGGUGUCAGCCUGCCUGGCGUUCUAGACGUGGAUAAACUCGUUCAUCACGCCUUCAUUCACACCUCUACUCACUGGGGCCUCUGACGUAGCAGGUGAUGCUCUUAAGUUCUGGCCAGGCAGUGAAUAAAGCAGACCCCCCUCCCCACCAUGGCACGUGCAGUCUAUGGGGUCAGCAAAGCUCUCGCUGAGCCCUCGCCCUGGCUUGUACCAGGCCGGGCCUGCUCCCUGGUGGAGACUGUCCCAGGGCAGGAAGCAGGGCCCCUGGUCUCCGCUCUCCUUGCCUUGGCUGUGGGCGCAGCAGAGCCAAGGCCCCUGCCAGCCCCUCACUCCCCGUGCCCGCCCUCCUGGUCACCGGGUCUCUCUCCUGCCUAUUUGUAUGCGGACUCUGACCCUCCCCUGGUCGCAGGCUGGAGAGUAAAUAUAAAAAGAAAAGGCAAAGCACAUUUCAGUUGAAAUCCCCAAGGAAACUGAUGUGAUUGCUGUACAGAAAUGGUUCCAAUAAGGGCAGAGAGGAAUAUUGCUUUUAUAGCUUUUGGGACAUAAAACAUUUAGAAAAUGUGAUUGACUGGCAGGGUCUAAUUUAUCAUUUAUCUCAUUCUCUCUGCUCGCUCCCUCUCUUCUCCCCACAACACACAGGCGGGCAGACGUGUACAGGCAAACUUUUCUCCCCUCUUGGCUUUCCUUUCUUCUCUCUCCGAGAGACUUGGAUUUAUCAUCGUUCUGUUAAGCAGGAGAACUCCUGUGGCUAUUUAUAAUUAAUGCUCAGAAACCUGCCAAUCCAUUUAAUGACACUGGCAGGUCAUGGCCCCCUUAUAGCUCUCCAUUAAUCAUCAUUAGAACAGCUCCGAGUUUUUACAUUCUUUUUAAAUGUUAAUUCACCUCUGUAAUGCUCCUUUUAGUUAAAACUGUAAAGAGGCAAGUGGCUGGUGCCUUGGUGCUCCCACCAGGGGAAAGGCAUGGUGGAGUUGAUAAAGCCUGGCUGGCUUUCUCUGUUCUUCUGUCCUCCACCCCCUGUCCCCACCACCAGAUGUCAACCCAGUGUGUUCUUUGGCUGCCUAUAUUUAUCUUUAGAAAAAGUGUCUAGUGACAUAACGUUCUGGGCAAACAUACUCUGAUAUCUUUGGACUCCUGGGCCCAUGGCGACAACCUGUGAGGAGUCGCUGGCCUGGUGUCCCCACUGGGUUCUGUAGCUCCUUAAGGUGAUGGGGCAGAAAGGGCUCCAGAGGUAAGUGAGACUGAGAACGGCCCUUGUGGUUUUUCCAACACCCACAAACACGCUGCCCACGCGCAGCUAAAAGGGGUCACAGCCCAUGAAGAAUGUUCUUGGGGUCAGGAAAGCUUGCCACUCGUCUCACUUUUGCCACUAAUGGGCUCUGAGCUUUUGGGCAAAACACUUCCCCUCCUUCUUCAGCUAUAAAACGGGGCCCUUAUCUCCCCUGCCUAAUACAUGAGGUUAAAUCUGUAAAGAUUAAAUGGAGUUGAGAUUGUAUAAAACUUUUAAAAUGGCUGCUCUGGAUGCAAAGUGGCUGGUCUCGCCCCUCCCUGCUUCUCCACACACCUAGCCUGCCCUCCUGCCCUGGAUCAUUCAUACCUCAAACUUCCAUAGCUCUUGCUUUAUAUCAUCUUUUUCAAGCCAGAAAAGCAUAUUUUGAAUCAUCAAAGUCCACAAAGCAGAAAGAAUGUAAAAUUGGGAAUGGGGCGACCCCUUAGUUUGAGUACCCACGCUGUUACUUAUUCGCUGUGUAAUUCUGAGCAACUUGCCUUGCCUCUCUGAGCUUCGGGUCUUUUAUUUUUGGAUCUUGUGUUUGUGAGGCCCCUUGAUCUAGAAAAUCCUGUGAUUUUUGUUCCUGCCCAUGAGUCUGUCUAAAGGGCCACGGCAGUGACUCAGACCUAACAGGGACAAACUGGCCCCUUUGCCCAUCAGAACUCUUACUUUUGCAUUGUCUUGUCAAGCAACAUGGCCUAGAGUUUAGAAUUCUAAAAGGGCAAACACAAGUAGAUGGGGGGGGACAGAAAAUAUAUAUUUAAUUCAGUUUUGACUCUGAUGUCUUUUGACACCACAUACCUUGGUUCCAAACACUUUGCACAAUAGACUUGACCUUGUUUUCAAGGCUGCCUCAAAUCUGCUGGUUGAGCUGGGAUGACCCCUCAGGCGUGAGGGUUCCAGGCACCUAACCCUUUUUAAUCCUUCUUCAAAAUAAGUUCCCCUCAUUUUCUGCAUAAGUAAACUGAGGCUCAAAGAGGAAAUGUGAGGGAGUUCCCUUGUGGUGCAGUGGGUUAAGGACCUGGCAUUGUCUCUGUCUUGGCUCAGGUCACUGCUGUGGCUCAGAUUUGAUCCCUGGCCCAGGGAACUUCCGUGUGCCCUGGGAACAGCCAAAAAAGAAGAAAGAAAGAAAGAAAGAAAGAAAGAAAGAAAGAAAGAGAAAGAAAGAAAGAGGUAGCAUGAGAGUUCAAGGUUCAUGUAGUUUUUACACUGCAGGGUCACAGGGCAAAUCCAGGUCUCCGGAAUUUAAGUCCAGCCUUCUUCUGUUUUUUGGUACCAUUUCAUCUUGUUCCCACCCUUCCCCAGCUUGAUGAAUGAGGGUGACUUGGCUACACCUUGGAUGAAAUACAGACAUAAUUCAGCAGCUGCUCCUGAACUGGCAUGAAUGACUAGUGACCCAGGAUUCGGGCUAAAAAUGUUUUUCCUGGGUCGACUCCUCACUGCACUUCCUCCACGUGGGCUUCAUUUAACAAUGUCUAAGCAAGGUUCCCUGGGGUCUUCUACAGGGAUGCCCACCCUGUUCAGUCUCCCCACCUGUGUGGUCCCAGCACCCCUUCCUCCAGGGACAGCCAUGCCAUCCCUCCCCUCCCCUGUACGCAUCUCCGACACUCCAGGCAGACACCAGUCCCCAAGCUGGGCUUUGGCCAUCUGUUCUGCCCAUCACUUGCAAAUGCAAUAAAACCUGCUUGACAAUCAUGUCAGCACAAAGGGCAGAGAGGGCUGCCUGGCAAAACGCUGUGAAAAAUUCUUUCCUCCAAAGGUUGUAUCAAGAAUAUCCGGGCCAAAAGGAGCUCUAACAGCAAGUGGAGUAUUGUGUCCUCUGCCUGCUUCUCCUUUCAAUUCUUUGCUUUAUUAAUGGAUUUGUGUCAGUUCUUACUUGGUACGAGUUAAUAAUAAUAUGGCCUUGUGAGAGUGCAAUACUGUACACAUUUGAAAAGGCUUUUGCAAAUCUAUUGUCUCCUUAAAUCUUCAUGACUGUGGCUGGAUUUUAGAACAGAAGGCCUUAGAAAAACAUUUACCCCAACUCUCAGCUGAUGAUUAUUGAUGCAUUUAGUUUAGUUUAAGUAAUACAUCCUUAUUAAAUAUAAUUUGGACGCCAUACAAAAGUAGCUUUAAAAAGAUUUAAAGUCACUCACGCCCAAUUACAUUUAAUGUAUUUUCUUCCAAUUUUUUCCCUUACUCUCUGCCAUAGUUUUUAUUAUAUGGUUGUAAUCAUAUCAUUUAUAUCUCAUUUUUUCUUUUAAGAAUAGAUCAGAAGCAAUUUUCUCUGUCGUUAUGUAGUAUUAGUGAACAUAAUUUUAAUUGGCUUUAUUACAUUACAUCAAGUAGAUGUACAGUACCAUUACCCAAUGUUUGGACAUUCAUGUUGUUCUAAUUUGGGGCUGCAAUAAAUAAGGUUUCAGCGAACAUCUCCAUGAACACCGCCUUAUUCCAGGAUUGCUUCCUUAGACCCGAUCAUUGGCAAUCCCGUUGCCACUGUUCUUUUAUUUCAAUCAGGAGAAACUAAGGCAGAGAGAGAUGAAAUGACUCCAGGUCCCAUGGUCAUUCAGAAGAGUAGCACUUGGGAGUUCCCUUCGUGGCCCAGUGGUUAACGAACCUGACUAGGGUCCAUGGGGUUGCAGGUUUGAUGCCUGGCCUGGCUCAGUGGGUUGGGGAUCUGGCGUUGCCAUGAGCUGUGGUGUGAGUCCCAGAUGCAGCUCGGAUCCUGCAUUGCUGUGGUUGUAGUGUAGGCUGGUGGCUGUAGCUCUGAUUCAACCCCUAGCCUGGGAACUUCCAUAUGCUGUGGGUGCGACCCUAAAAAACAAAAAAACAAACAAAAAAAUAGAAGAGCAGCCCUCGGGUCGGAAGUCAGGUCUCUUGUCUCUUGGUUUUCAUCUUUUCCAUUGCAUGGCGAUCUUCGACUUUCUAAAUAAAAGGGCUUGAAAAGUAUCUUGGGUGUCCACAUAAAAGCAAUUUUAGUUUUAGUAUCCAAUGAUUGAGAAAAAUCAUGUUAAGAACUGCCAUGAUUUCCGUAGCACUUGUGAACAGGGUGUAUGAAAUCAAAUGCAGCAGUAUCCUUAUAUAUUGAGAAAUAGUACGAGCAUACUGUUGGGAAGUAUCUAUUCCAUCUGCUGUCGAGGCUUGAUGUGCAUGUGGAUCCUGAACCCCUUUUAAAACUCUUGUCCCCCCUUCAUAUCCCACCCCAAGCUCAGUCUGUUAUCUUUUACAAAGAAAGCAUCCAUCCUGAGCUUUCUGCCAGGAUAUUCAUUCCAAGCUAGAACCUGUGGGAACCACAGUUACUUCUUCCCUCUGGACCUUUCCUGCCCUCUUAAUUCGGACGUAGCUGAAAAGGUAGAUGAGAGAGGGAGGGGCUAUUCUGAAUAUUGAGAGUCAGAACAGACCUGCGGUUGUUUUAUGUGAGGAUUUCAAGGCUUCACAACCUGAAUGAACUGUCUCCAAUAAGAACAGUCCUUUUAUGUGGUGCUCGGUACAAUCCUAAUGGCCAUGAACGCAUUAUUUUCAUUAAUUUUUACAACGUUUCUACGGAGAGGGUGCCACAUUCAUCGUGAUUUUUACAGAUGAGAGAAAACUGAAGAGGGCAGUAGUUCGGGUCUCAUAGAAACCAGAGAUGGGUUGUGGAUUUAAGCCUCGGAAGCAUGGCCCUGGAUCCUGCAUUCUUACCCUCAGGGCCCCCAGGCUCCCUCACCCAGUGCCCCCAGCAUUUGAGGAGUGUGCUGAGGCAGGUCGUGGUCCUUACAUGUUCAGCUCUUGUUCUCAUCCUUACCACGCAUUCACAAGCCAGUUAUGGGGUGAGGGAAAGAGGGGGACCUUUGGGGAUAAUCCUCCCGUUCACCAGCUGGCUCUCAAGAAUCCCCGAGUCCACACUUCCUCCAGCGUAGAAUGAAGGAGUGCUUAUGUUGCUGAAAUUUGGCCUCUGUCCACCAGCCCUGAAUUGAAUCAUGAGACAAGAGUUUGGGGUGAAACGGAAAAAAAUAGAUUGAUUGCUUGGCCAGGAAAAGAGGGCCAUCGGCGUUGGGGUGGGGUGGGGGGGCUAGAACCCUCAAAAGUGUGCCCCUCCUGAGGGGGUUAUGAGGAGUCUUACAGUGUUGUAGGAUGAGGAGGUGUCAUGAAUAGAUGAUUAGGACAUCAUCUGUCCCUUCCGUCCACUCUCUCUGUGUGUCCCCUCGCGUGUACCAGUUCUCCUAAAUGAUUGCAACUCAGAUUCUGCUCCUCUGCGCUCUCCUGAGGACUUCUAUUGGGUUCUCAUCUCCUUUUGCUGAAGACUGUACCCCUUCCCAAGAUAGAAGGCAGCAGACGAGGGCCCUCCAGUCUUUAGCCCUGGACAGCAUCUCUUCUAAAUUCCUGCAGCUUCGAAAAAGCACGGGAUUUAGAACCAGACAGCCUUUAGGUUGAAUCCUGAUUCUACCACCUGUUGUGUGGCCUUGAGCAGCUUGUUUUUUUCUCUCUGGGCUUGGGUUUUGACAACUGCAGGCCAUGUUGAUGGUUAAAUUCCGGAAUGUAUGUGAAAGUGUCUAUGCACGGUGGUCGUGGGACAUAUUUUGCUCCCCAUUUUUGUUUUUUUGUUUUGAAUCUGGUGACCUGGGAGGAUGCCAGGAAGGGAAGAGUUAUCUUUUCACAGAGAAAUUCCAUGUGCUGAACCAGAAUUUGGCCCCAAAUUUCCAACAAGUACAGGUAUGCUUAUUGGACAGUGGAAGUCCCAUUUUAGAAAAUCUAGAACAUGGGUUCCUUAUUAUUUAAUCUCUCUCUCUUGAGCUUGGAGUAAAACCAGUUUUUCUGCCUCCUCUCUCUAGGCUUAACCUUCUCAUUUUCUGGAGUUUGAUAGUGAACCUCCCUAAUAAAGAGCCCCUCUUCCACAAGGAGAUAGGAAAAAAAAAAAAAA